Molecule: long non-coding RNA, 1283 nt
Organism: Brassica oleracea var. oleracea
Lineage: Eukaryota; Viridiplantae; Streptophyta; Magnoliopsida; Brassicales; Brassicaceae
Exons: 4
Source: RefSeq, a predicted model, not a curated record
CCUAUGACUGCAACGAAGAACGUGGAAACGGCUGUGUUCAUAAGCAGAGGAGGAGAAGAGGCUUCGAUGGACGACGAAUCAGAUCUACUCCAUAUGGCUCAUCUGCCGCUGCGUCUCCGGCUUCGCCGCUGCGUCUCCAAACUAUCCCUCUCAGAUGAAUCUCCAAGGCGUCGCGAAAAGUUAACCGAAGGCUUCAAUCUUAAACCCGUUUCCUUCAUGGCUUAGUUCCAUAGCUCACGACCUGAUUGUAAUUUAUAUGCUUUUUGGGUUAGGUUCUAUCUCUGUGAGUUUUGUUUCUAACUCACAUUUAGAUUAGUGAAAUUGAUGUUUAAAUGAAAAUUUUGUUUUGUUCUUAGUGCAACAAGAGAACCUGGAACCCUUGCUUUUAUUUCAUUUUGAAUGGUGCUUGAUUUGUGAUUUGACGAGUGAUUUGAUAAAAGGAUGAAUGCUUUACUCACUUUGUGAUUCCAUGGUCAUAGGUUUCUGCAAACGAAGAAGUAUUGUGUACUGCUUGAUAUCAAGGAGAAAACUUUGAAGAAGCUAUCUAAGCAGCAGCUUUAAGGUUUGCGUGUGUGGACCGUGGUCAGACAGAGAAUAGCUGUUGUGUGAAGUGUCCAUUCUGUGAGAGGUUUGCGUGUGUGGACCGUAAUGUUCCUUGGCGUGAAUCUAUGAGCAGUGAAGAGUUUCAGAUUCUUCAGGUUCAUUAAAUAUAUAUUGCAUCGCUUGGCUAGGUAUAAGAGGUGGAGACGAUGUCAGCUAUGUCGUGUAAUGAUUUUAAUUGCUCAAGGCUGCAACCACAUGACUUGCCGGUAAGACAUACACCCAUAGAACGUUUCAUAUCUAUAUAUUGUUUGGCUUUGUGGUUUCUUAUAUCAAUGUUGAGAUAUCUCUUUGUGUUCUUUGUAUGUGUGGGCAUGAGUUUUGCUACUGUUGUGGACCAGAGUAGAGUGAAAGACAACAGAGUUACACUUGUGCUUUGUGGUGGAUUGUUGCAGGAAGUUUACAGAGGAAAGCAACUCCAUCAUCUUGUCUACAAGAGGAAGGCUAAACAAGUUGAAGACUUUAGCAAUUGUGAGCAAAUGAUAUAGUGAGUGUAGGUCCUGUGGCUGAGGCAUGGUGAUGGCGUGGUAUGUGUUAAAGCUUCGGCCUUUCAUUUUUGGUUCAUCGUUUUUAGGAGACUCGAGGGCAACGAGCUUGAUGGUAUGAGUUUCUCUGAUAGGGUUGUUGGUGCGUGUGUGUUUUGUACGCUGAAUUUGAAUAAUGAUAUCUUUUUUUUUGUUUUU